RNAcentral lists this ribosomal RNA (1895 nucleotides) under human gut metagenome. Its description in RNAcentral is "bacterial LSU rRNA". It matches the Rfam family "Bacterial large subunit ribosomal RNA", at positions 1154 to 2925 of the family's 2925-position model. The record is from RNAcentral.
UGGUUCCGCGCCGACAAUGUAGCGGGGCUCAAGCACACCACCGAAGACGCGGCAGCAAUCUUCAUGGUUGCUGGGUAGGAGAGCGUCCUGCGAGGGGCGAAGCGGCCGGGUAACCGUGCCGUGGACUUCGUGGGAGUGAGAAUGCAGACAUGAGUAGCGAGAGACGGGUGAGGAUCCCGUCCGCUGGAUGACCAAGGGUUCCGGGGCCACGUUCGUCGUCCCCGGGUGAGUCGGGUCCUAAGGCGAGGCCGACAGGCGUAGUCGAAUGGAUGAACGGGUGGAUAUUCCCGUACCGACCAUGGACCGGCAAAACCGAGACGGUGAGUACUAACCUCCGCCUCGUGGUGGUUCCUUCCUUCGGGUUGGUAUCGCCGCGUGGUGUUGGGACUGUAGCCGCAGUAGGUCAGCGCAGGGGUGACACGGAAUGGGAGCCGGCCGCGGAGGUGGUUUUCCGUGGUCAAGCACGCAGCCAGUCAUGUAGGCAAAUCCGCAUGGCGCGCAUGGCGAGGUGUGAUGAUGGGAGCCGUUAUGGCUCGAUAUCCGGUUGUCCAGGCCGUCGAGAAAAGCCUCGGCGUGAGGGCCAUGGCCGCCCGUACCCCAAACCGACACUGGUGGUCAGGUAGAGAAUACCAAGGCGAUCGAGCGAAUCCUGGUCAAGGAACUCGGCAAAUCACUCCCGUGCCUUCGGUAUAAGGGAGACCCACUGGGGUGAAGGACCUUGCGUCCGGAGCUUUGGUGGGUGGCACAGACCAGGGGGUAGCGACUGUUUACCAAAAACACAGGUGCAUGCGAAGGCGAAAGCCGCUGUAUAUGCACUGACGCCUGCCCGGUGCCGGAAGGUUAAGAGGAUCCGUCAAUCCCUUCGGGAUGAAGCGGUGAAUUCAAGCCCCGGUAAACGGCGGUGGUAACUAUAACCAUCCUAAGGUAGCGAAAUUCCUUGUCGGGUAAGUUCCGACCUGCACGAAUGGCGUAACGACUUCCCCACUGUCUCGACCAGGAGCUCGGCGAAAUUGCAGUACGAGUAAAGAUGCUCGUUAAGCGCAGAAGGACGAAAAGACCCCGGGACCUUUACUAUACCUUGGUAUUGGCGUUAGGCGCGGAUUGUGUAGCAUAGGCGGGAGGCUUCGAAGCGGGUGCGCCAGCAUUCGUGGAGCCGCAAGGUGAAAUACCGCUCUGUUCUCGUUUGACGUCUAACCUCGACAAGUCAUCCUUGUCAGGGACAGUGCCUGGCGGGUAGUUCAACUGGGGCGGUUGCCUCCCAAAGAGUAACGGAGGCGCUCAAAGGUCCGCUCAGCCCGGUUGGCAAUCGGGUGUCGAGUGUAAUCGCACAAGCGGGCUUGACUGCGAGGACGACGGUCCGAGCAGGGACGAAAGUCGGAGAUAGUGAUCCGGUGCCGGCGCACGGGCGCGGCAUCGCUCAACGGAUAAAAGGUACCCCGGGGAUAACAGGCUGAUCAUUCCCAAGAGUCCAUAUCGACGGGAUGGUUUGGCACCUCGAUGUCGGCUCGUCGCAUCCUGGGGCUGGAGCAGGUCCCAAGGGUUCGGCUGUUCGCCGAUUAAAGCGGCACGCGAGCUGGGUUCAGAACGUCGUGAGACAGUUUGGUCUCUAUCCUCUGCGCUCGUUGGAAUCCUGAGGAGGCCUGCCCAUAGUACGAGAGGACCUGGGUGGACGAACCUCUGGUAUGCCGGUUGUCGCGCCAGCGGCACGGCCGGUUGGCUACGUUCGGGAGGGAUAACCGCUGAAAGCAUCUAAGCGGGAAGCCUGCUCCAAGAUUAGGAUUCCAUGGAUCUUCGAGAUCCUGUAGCCCGCAUGUUGAACACGUGUUUGAUAGGCCGGAGGUGGAAGCCCCGUGAGGGGUGGAGCCGACCGGUACUAACGGGCGACGGCGACAUAA